GGCUGAAUAUUUCCCAUCUUAAUCAUCGAGUUCGCAAAGUCCUCGUAGAAAUCUUCGGUAUCGUCGCUGUACUCUUUUUUGCCUGUUUUGAGAUGGAAUUGGAUUUUUCCUUCGAUGAUGCAUGGCAGAUGAUUUAUAAUUACUCUUCUCGUAUAACAUGUUUUUUGACCUUUCAAAAUAUACUAACAUGUUUUUUUUUUUUUAUAUAUAUAUAUAAAAAGGUACUAUGCCACAUUUAACUCAUAUUGUCAAAUAAUCUAAGUUAACAAUUAUUAUUGUUGACUUAAUCUUAGUUUCUCAAAUUAGAGGUCCUGUUUUUAUUUAGUCCUCCAAAAUUUUUUAGUCUAUCAAAUUAGAAAAAAAUUGUUUAUUUAGUCCCUUCUCUCACAUAAAAAUUUAUAUUUUUUAACUCCUUAAAAUUUGACCAAGGAAUUAAAAGAAGCUUUUUUUAAAGUUAAGAUGUUAAAAAACUAUAAAUUUUCAUUUGAAGGGCUAGAAAAACAGACUCUGUAAUUUGAGGACCUAAAAUAUAAUCAAACGUAUUUUAUCAUUACUUGAUUAGAAGCUAUUGUUUAUUUUUUAAAAAUUCAAUGAAAUAGUGUUAUUAAAAUUGAACCAGAUCAUACGUCUGAAUCGAUUCAACCAGAAAUUGGAUACAUGAUUGAUCCAAUCAAGGUUGGAUUGGAUGUGUCUUCAUUAAACCUGCGGUGAUAUCAUUGAAGGUACUUAUUAAAAGUACCUGAGAAACUGCACCAAUAGAAAUUUAAUUAGAAAAUCAAGAAAAGGUAUUUUCAUGUUACUAGUAGUACAUAUCAUUAUUGUGAUGUUUAUUUUUAUUGUUGUUAUUAUUCUUGUUAUCAUUAUAAUUAUCAUUGUUAUUAUUAUUAUUACUACAUAAUUUCUUGACACUAGGCUUUCUAUAAAAUUUAAAUGAUUUUAUAAAAUAAAACAAAAACAUGACAUUAAGGUAAUCAUAUUUUCAAACAUUAAUUGAUUCUCUUUGUUUUCAUAUAGGUGACUUUAAUAUGAUAAAUUUUCAUCUUGAAUAAAUAAAAAAAAGUUUCAAAAAAGUGUCCCGACAUUAAAAAUGACAAUUAUUUUGAAAGAACAAAUGUGCAUGUGAGUAGUUAAACAAGAUAAAUGACCAUUUAAGGACGAUUCUUAUAUUUUAGGCUUCAAUUAAUUAUGAUAUAGUUUUAUGGUAAUUUAUACUGAUAUUUAAUACGUUUUUUUUUACAUAAAUCAUAAAUGUAAAAUUAAUUUUGAUUAGAGAAUAACUCUAUAUAUGUUAUUUUUAUUGUUUUACAUUCGAAUUGGAUUAUUAUUUUUUAUAUUUAUUGUUUUAAUAUUAUUCACAACAUGCGCUAGCUCUGGAUAUCUGAGUUAAAUAGUAUAAUAAAAAAUUGAGUUUUAACGUAAAUCAACUUGUUUUUGAAUCCAAGAAGGUGUUAAAUGUAUCAACAAGGAUACAACGGAGGUUUUUAUGGAGUGAUUUGGGGGAGUCAAAUAAAAUUUGUUGGGUCAAUUGGGAAUCUGGAUACCUCCCAAAGUCAUAAGGGGACUUGGGAGCAAAGAACCUGUAGGCAUUCAAUAUGGAGCAGUUUUGGAAGGUUAGACGGGUGAGGGAUUUCAAUCUAGAAACAAUUUUUGUAAGAUUAUAUCAAAUUGCAAAUAAUACAGACUGUUUGAUGGCUGAUAUGGUUGGCAAUGGGUUUGGUAUUGGAGGUGACGUGUUUGGAGUCUAGUCGAUCCAAAGGUAAAGUAAUUCAAUCUUACGUCUAUUCAACCAAAAAAAAUUUAUAAUUGAUUUUUACAAAGUAAAAAAAGCAACAUAUAAUUCCUUCUUUUAAAGUAUUUUUUUCUUUAAAUUUAUCUUAGGUCCUCUGAUAGGAGCAGAGGGGAAAUUAGCAAGAAAAUACCUUGAAUUUGAGGACAAGGAGCCUCUCCUACUGUAAAGGUAAAGACUGAAAUUCACGUUUUGUGUUUAUUUCAUCACCAAAAUGCUGCUUAUAUAAGCAUGGGUAGUGAUCAGUCUUAAUACAGAAAUCCAAUACUAACUGAAUUUCCGCUACUAACAGAAUUCACCACUACUAACAAUAUUCCUUUUAACAGAUUUUGGCAUUUAGCUAAGCAGAACAACUAUAUUCUUGAUAAUUAUCACCCCUGAGUGUUAUUCGUAGUCUGUAAGAUAUGCAGGUCGAUUUGUGCUUCUUUUAGGCCUUCCUUCUUGGGCCUUUGUUGCAGCAGAGUCAUCUUGGUUGGGUUCAUGUAUGCUAGUUUGUUGAUUGCUAUUAAUACCACCCCCUGAAAAAUUCACCUUGUCCUCAAGGUGAAACUUGUCGCAUACCUUCUGCCAUGUUUCCUAUGAAGCAUCCUCUGGUGGUAGGCCCUGCCACUAGAUUAUAACCAUUUUUGUUGGAGGAGAGGUUGAGGUAUCCAUCUUUUGAGAGAGGAUGGCGAGGGGUUCUAGGAUUGGAUUGUUGUUGAUAGCAUGUGGAGGGAGCGCAUUGGAAUUCGUAAGCAAAGGACCGUAGUGUGGUCAAAGCAAGGAAGAGUGUAAAACAAGAUGUAUUUUGGAGUUUUCCGGUAAGCAAAGACGAUAUGCCACUUUACCAAUAGGCUCUGUGAUUUCAAACGGCCCAAAAAAAUUGGUUUGACAAUUUAUGAUGCAAGGUCGAAGUUUCACAUGUACCCAUUGACCCACUUCGAAGUUAUUAGAGCGUCGUUUUGCAUAAGCAAAGUGCUUCAUUUCUUUCUGUGCUCGCAGAAGUCGUCGUUUCAGUUUCUCAUGAAUCAUUGUUCUGGUGGUGAGCUUGGAGUCAACAACUUCGUUGGUGGAAGUGCCAAGAACAUACUCCAGUAUGGACGAUGGCGGUUUGCCGUAGACUAUCUCGUAUGGGGUCAUUCCGGUGCUGGAGUGGAUUGAUGUGUUGUAUGACCAUUCGGCAAGAUGGUGAAACUUGUGUCAUUCAGUAGGGCAAUUGUGAACAAUGGUUAUUAAAUACUGUUCGAGUAUGUGAUUCAUCACUUUGGUCUAUCCAUCGAACUGUGGAUGAUAUGUGGUGCUCAUUCUAAGAGUCAUGCCAUUGAGUUUAAAUAAUUCUUUCCAGAAAUGGCUCACGAUUAUAGGGUCACGGUCGGAGACUAUACUGUAAGGGAAUCCAUGGUGCUUAUAGACCAUUUUGAGAAAUAGAGAGGCUGCUCUGAAGGCUGUAAAGUGCAAGUGAAAAGUGCCAAUAUAUACGGCUUUAGAGAAACGGUCCACAACCAUCAUGACCACUAUGUAACCUUGAGAGCAGGGAAGGUGGGUGAUCAAAUCCAUUGAGAGGUCCUCCCAGAUGCUCGAAGGUAGUGGUAGGGGCUGCAAUAAUCUAGUAGCUUUGCGAGUCACGUAUGAAGCUAGCUUUAAUGUGAUGUAUCGUCUUGGCUAUGCCUAAGCUAAAUGACCUCCCAACGGCGUAGCAUGGAACUCAGUCAACAAAACAGGGAUGAGCAAAUUGUCAUGAUUCAACCAAAUACUACCUUGGUAUAGAAUUAGACCAUCAGACAACUGGUAUCCAGGGUGGGCGUCUGGAUUGGCCAAUAAUUGCGCCAACUUUUCAUGGAAAAUGGGACUGUCCUGCAAUGAUUGUCGGAGUUCACUCUGUGGGCCUCUGUGGGUUUGUCCACUCGAGAUAGAGAGUCAUCGACGAUAUUCGAGGAGCUACUCUUGUAUUGAAUCUCGUAGUCAUAGCCCAACAACUUGGCCAGAUAAUAUUGUUGCUCUGGUGUUUGGAUGACCUGAGUCAUAUGGUCCUUUAGACUUUCGUGAUCAGUUCGUAUGACGAAUUUGUGGCCCAAUAGUUAUUGACGCCAUUUGCAGAUGGUUGUCAUCAUGGUGUGUAACCCGCAAACAUAUGUGGAGGAUCUCUACAAUUUCGUUGUGAAUUGCUUGCUAAAGAAGGCAAUGGGCCUCCCCUAUUGCAUAAGAAUUGCUCCCAUUGUGGUGCCGGAAGCAUCUGUCUCCAGAAUGAAAGGGACCAAGAAGUCAGGAGCAGUUAAGACCGGUGCUUGGGUCAUGACAAUUUUCAACUGAAUGAAAGCAGCUCGUGCUUCCGACGACUAAUGAAAUUUUUCGCGGCAGAGAAGGGUAGUGAGAGGUGUUGUGAUACCAGCAUAUCCUCAAAUGAAGCGUCGAUAAAAGCCAGUAAGGCCUAGGAAAGCUUUGAGGUCCUUUUGUGAUUCAGGUGAUGACCACUAUAUCAUGGCGACAAUCUUUGAUGGAUUAGGUUCGAUGCCUUUGUUGGAAAUGAUAUGACCCAAAUAUUCCAAUUUGUGUUGGGCGAAAAGACACUUAGAGCACUUAAGAAAGAAUUUACCCUACAGCAAUAUGCUGUAGACGAGUAUGUCGUUAAAGAAGACUACUGCAAACUGGCAUAAAAAUGGUUGAAGGACUGCGUUCAUGGUGGUCUGAAAGGUUGAAGGAGUGUUGCUCAAACCAAAAGGCAUGAUGUGAUACUCAUAAUGCCCAUGGUGUGUUCGAAACACAGUUUUGGCGAUAUCCUCUUUCACCAUGAGGAUUUGAUGGAAGCCCUGACAGAAGUCCAAUUUUGUAAACCAGGAGGCUUUGCCAAGAUCGUCCAAUAAUUCAUCAAUUGUCAGCAUUGGAAAACGGUCUAGGAUGGUAGCGACAUUGAGAGUACAUUAGUCAAUGAACAUGCGCUAACAUCCAUCUUUCUUCUUCACCAGAAGCACUGGUGAGGAGAAUAGGCUAUGAUUGAUGUGUAUCAUACCAGAUUGAAGAAGCUCUAAAACCUGCUUUUCUAUUUCUAAUUUUUGGAAAUAUGGGUACCUAUAUGGGCGAACAUUGAUGGGGCAAUUGAUGGUUGAAGGUUUAUGUGGUGGACUAUUUGUCGGGGUGGGGAAAGGUUUGUGGGUGUGAGGAAGAUGAGCGUAAAUCUAGAAAUCAAAGCUUGGAUUUCAGGUAUAGGGCAGAGUGGGUAGGAAGACUAGUUUGGGUUGGGUGAGGGUAGGAGGGUCUAGUGAAAGAAUGAUGUGGUGGCUUUGGUGUGGAGCAGUCUGCGAAUUUGUUUUGGUGAUAAGUGCACAGGCCCAAAAUCAACAUCAACGCUAAGUUCCACAAAAUGGCCCAGGUGGUGAAACUUCAUGGAAAGAGUGGUGUAGUCGGUAACUACGGAGCCCAAUUGCUUCAGCCAAUCAAUGCCCAACAUGACGUCAACCCAAUAGGUAAAACAUGGAGUGUCACUAUGAAAGAGUGAUUUUGCAGGAGUAAUUCAAUCGCAGCGCAUUGGUGACGGGAUUCCAAAAUGGACUCGUUACCUACCAUGACACGUAAGGAUGCAAUUUCCCUUGUGGGUAAGGCCAAGAACUUCACCACGCGAGGCUGUAUGAAGUUGUAGGUACUACCACUGUCAAUGAGUACCGUGAGGCGAGUUUGUUGGAGGAAAUCGUAGAGACGAAAGGUGUUAGAGGUGGAUAACCCAGAAAUGGCAUUGAGGAUGAUAUGUGGAAGGGGUUGAAACAAGGAGGUUGGUAAGUUAGGGUCUGGUGGUUGUGGCCCAGGGUGUCGGGUGGGUCGACGGGUUCGUUGGAAUCCGCGAUUAGAAAAAAUAUGCGACCUUGGCAUUUAUGGGUGGAACUCCAUUUUUCGUCCCAAUUAUAGUAGAAUCCUUUCUCAUGUUGUAGGGCCAUUUCCUCUGGUGUGUGGCGAACGAAGGUGUGGGAAGGAUUGGGGUUGGGGUUGGGGUUGGUGACUGGGGAAAAUGAUGGGUUAGUGUGGUGGCUGGGUGGUGGUUUAUACGUCCUACGGCGGUCCAAUAUUUUGCCUUCUUGCAAUUUCACUAAGGCUGUAGUUUGGGGAAGCGAAAUGGGCUGCAGGGCUUGGACCUCGCAGUGGAUCUCUGGAGAGAGGCCGGAGAUGAAGCAACUAAGGAGGAAUGAGGGAGGAAGCCCGAUUAUGUGGUUGGCUAGGCGCUCAAAUUCAGUCAAAUAAUCGUUGACUAAGUCACAUUGAGAGAGCUUGAAUAAAGCUCCCUUUGGAUCAUCGUAGUAUGUCGGGGCGAACCGUGUCUCCAGAGCCUGAAGGAAUGCCGGCCAGGAGGUGAUAAAACCGUUUCGAUAGGACCAUUGGAACCAGUUUAGGGUCGGACCAUCCAUAUAGAAUGAUGUGACGGUGAUACGCUCCUCUUCCGGGGUACCGUAAAACUCAAAAAACUGAGAGAUCUUAAAGAUCCAUCCCAGUGGGUCGUGGCCGUCGAAUCACAGGACAUCGAGUUUGAUGGGAGGGCGAGGGAGGAAUGGGGUGACGGGUUGGUGUUGGGGGCACUGCAGGGGGUUGUUAAGGUGGUCUAAGAGAAUUUCGACCUUAGAGGCAAGGUCUGAGUGUCUGGAGGGUAGUGAUUCAUGGUGAAGUGUUAGGCGGGAUAGCGCGUCCUCGAGUCUAUCGGUGGUGGUUUUACACGUGCCAUGGCAGGUCGGACCAAGAUGAUAGGAGCAGAGGGGAAAUUAGCAGGAAAAGGCCUUGAAUUCGAGGAUAAGGAGCCUCCUACUGCAAAGGUAAGGACUGAAAUUCAUGUUCUGUGUUUAUUUCAUCACCAAAAUGCUGCUUAUAUAAGUCUGGGUAGUGAUCAUUCUUACUACAAAAAUCCAAUACUAACCGAAUUUCUGCUACUAACAAUAUUCCUUUUAACAGAUUUUGACAUUUAGCUAAACAGAACAACUAUAUUCCUAUAUUCUUGAUAAUUGUCACCCCUGAGUGCUAUUCGCAGUCUGUAAGAUAUGCAGGUCGAUUUGCACUUCUCUUGGGCCUUUCUUCUUGGGCCUUUGUUGCAGCAAAGUCAUCUUGGUUGGUUUCGUGUAUGCUGGCUUGUUGAUUGCUAUCAUCCUCUCACGAUUUCAUGGAGGAUAUUGUUGUUCAACUGAGACUACUUCUAUUUUCAGUCACGUUGAGUGGGAUAGGCUAGACUCUUGAUCAUGGGAACAGAAUAAAAAUAGUUCUUUAACGGUGUUAUCUGCUUAUUCAUUGAUUCGUGCUGGGGUGAAUGCUUCAUAAUCAUAUACAUCCAAAACAGUUAUAUUCUCAGAAGGAAGCAGAUGAAAAAAAAUCAGAAGUAUUAAUUAUUUGGCAUGCGACGUGCUGCGGGUUCACAGAAACAAUGUUAUUUUCAAAAAUGGUAUUCCAAAUGUUCCUAUAGUGUCGUUUUUCACGCUCAGAGUUUGUAAUGGUCUUGGUUCAGGUAUAAGGGAGGGACCUUGCUCAAGUGGGAUUUUGUUUGCAAACUGGUGUUCCAAUCUGUUGGAGUGCACAUUACAAUCUGGAUAAUUCUGGUUUUGAUUGUAUUUUUGCUCCUAUACAGAGAGCUUUAAUUUGCAUUUUUUUGCGUGCUUUAACUGUAAUUUUCGUUCUGGUGUGGUCACACUUCAUGGCCAAUAACCUUUAAUAAAAUUCUUUUUGCUGUUAAAAAAAACAAAAUUUUACAAAAACAGCUUGUAAGAAGAUGAGAGUUGUUCCUCCUCUUAUAAACUUUCAUUUGAUUGUAAGUUGAUGUGAUAUCUCUAACAAAAUGAGUGUUUUAUAUAUCAUAAAAAAACUCAUGGUCCAAAUAAAUUGUACCUUUUUAGAAUCAAUACAAAAGGAAUUUGAAAACAAACAAUUUAUGGCAAAGAAUUCAUAACAUUACAUGUAUAAAUAAUAAAUUCAUAAUUAUGCACCACUCAAGAAUUAUUCUGUAUGUAUAAUGCAUACUUAUUGCAGAACCUUUGCAUUGAAUUAGUUCACAUUCCUGCAGUUAACCCGAAUUUCACCUUGAUUCCCAGUGAGGGGCUGAAUAUUUCCCAUCUUAAUCAUCGAGUUCGCAAAGUCCUCGUAGAAAUCUUCGGUAUCGUCGCUGUAUUCUUUGACCAGUUCAUCAGUAGAACCACCAUUGAAGAGUUCUUGAUCAGAGUGAAGAAGCCCUUUCUUUUGAACCAAAUUAGAGUAAUAGUUUAUGUCAAAUUUUGCCGCUGUUGAGUCCAAAGGAGAAAGGUUGGAGUCACCACCGUUUGUAGGGCAAAUGUAUUUAAGUUGUUGUGCAAAGUUGGGAUCGAUGUUGGAGUCAUUGUAGAUAUGGUCCUUAAAUGUAACACAACGUGCAAAUCCAAUGCUGUGGCCUCCAGAAAGAACAACAAGGUCCUUCUCAUCAAGACCAUGGUUCUUGAAGUUGGUGAUGAGUUCAGAUAGGCUGAAAAAUGGUGCUGGAAUGCUUGCAUCUGCUGCUUCACGACUUGCUGUAGUAGAAUCUCUUCUACCAAGUCUCACCUUCCAUGAUGGCCCACCUAACUGCGUAGAGCAUGCAAAUAAUUAAUUCUUGUUCACAACUAAGUUCAUUAAUUUUUUAUAUAAAGACAACAGUAUAGUGUUGUUCAGCUAGAAUAUUUAGUAAUAAUUUAUACGAAUUUUGAGGAAGUGAAAUUGUAUUUAAACAAAUUUUUUACAUAAAGGAUUUUGAAUAAUAAAGAGAAAGAAAAUAAGAAAUAAGGGAUAUAUAAUAAAAUAUAACUCUUUGAAAAUUAACUAAUCAACAUCAUUUUGUAUGUUCUCAAAUUUCGUUGUAAUAUGGCCAUCACACUUGCUCUGAACGUUACAUAUUUAUGGGUGGGUUCAGAAUCCUCCGGUUUAUUUUUAUACUAUUCGAACAGAGUCAGUGACUCCCUAGACAAUUAAUAAAGUUUAUACUACUUUUUAGUAAUAUACAUUUAUUUGACUUUUAUGUAGUCAAAGUUCUAAAAAAAUUGCAUUGCAUAAUCUUAUGAUCUCUGGUAUAUUUGACAUCGUGAUUAAUAAAAAAUUCGUUAUGGACUAAUACAAUUCAUAACAUUAAGCAUAAUUUCUCAUAUACGAUAAACAUUUAACGCAUAUCAUUUAGGGUUAUUCUAGUAUUACAAUUUUGAAGCUAUAUUAUAGUAUUAUUACUCACCGCAACAACUGAAUCACGAGCUGCAACAGCCAAUAUGUCUGCGCAAGAAACAACUGGUUUUCCACAUGCUUCGUCCACAGCUUUCUUUAUGUCAUCCACCACUUCAAAUCCUCUAGCAGAUUGCAAAUUAGCAGCUGCAUUCUUUUCGCUGUCAAUGGAGGAUGUGGAGUCUAGAAGAAUUGAACCAUCACAACCCUGAAUCAUUGUCACAAAACCAAGUCUUUAUUCACAUCAUCUAAAAAUUAAUCCUCGCAUUUCAAAUGAUAGGGUGUUUAUGAGAGAAAAAAAUGAUAGGGUGUUUAUGGUACACGUAAUUUUUUUUUUAUAUAGCAAAGGGUUUUAUGUGUCAUUUACUGAGACUAAUUUUCUUCGAAAAGGCAUUCAAAGAAGUUAUUCCGUUCCAAAACUCGAUUUUUUCUCGUAUGAUAUGAAAGUCAGGAUUUGAAUUCCAUGACCACAUUUGUAAGGAAUCAGCUUAUCAUCACUCAAAAUAACUACUUAUGAUCAUAUUAACAUGUGUGUAUACGUGUGCACCUGCAUAUAUAUAUAUAUAUAUAUAUAUAUAUAUGUAUGUGUGUACGUGUGCCGUGCAUGUAUAUAUAUGUGUAUGCCCACAAGCGUAGAAUGUCUUACAUUAACAAAGCAAUCAUGGAAGUGCAAGCGUAGCAAUGAAGCACCCAUACGACGCUCUUUCAGUACUGAAGCCUCCACAACACUUUUGAUGGUGCUCAAAGCUUUGGGGCACGAAUAAUCAUAGUAAUUAGGUGACAAUUGUGAGAAAGCUGAGGUUGCAAUAGAUGCAAACACUAAGGCAUGGAGAACAACAAAGAAAUACCCACGUGAUGCCAUUCUAUUACUAUGCAAUCAAUAACUGAUCAAUAUGCAAUAUAGUACUAUAGUUAGAUGGCAAUAUCGCCUACAGGGAAAUGAUAAAGCUAUAUUAUGUAUUUCUAUUAUUUGGAUUGCUAUUGCCACAUUGCUGUAUUUAUAGAGACUCUGAGACGCGUGCUGUGGAAAAAAAUACCAUUUUUUAUUGUUGGUCCAUAGAAAAAUAUACCAAUUAACUGCACCGUAUCAUACCAAGUGAUGUGUGGACUGAGCCCAUGAAAAAGACCAUUUCACCUCAGAAAGGUUCUAUAUUAGGUAUCAUUAAAGGAAUCAAGAAAUCCUAAAAAAACAAUUAUUUAGUGAUUGAUUUAGUCCACUGAGGUUGUUAAUUAAUUGAUAUAUGUACGCCAACCACAGCGAAUAAUGAUAAAUUAAUGAUGUAAAUGGACAAUAUACAUGCAUGGGAUACAUAUCCUUUUCGACUAAAUCAAUUCCGAGUAUUAUAUGUUGUAUAUUCACAGCGUAAGCAAUUACGAAUCCUAGUUAUCAAUCAGGUUAACCUUUUUUCUUCUUCUUCUUCUGAAUUAUUAAUCAAGUCAACUAGUUGUAGUCAUUUUUAUUGUAAGCAGAUAAAAGUUUCAAAAUGAUACACAUGGACAAUGAAGGUAAAUUAAAUUCUACAAGUUUCUGUCAAUAUAAUUUAAUCUUCAAAUUAGUCAACCUCAAGAAAAAUUAAUAUAAAUUUAAUCUAGUAAUAAAUUACACCGCCUUAAUUUUUGAGUUUUUAUUUUAAUAAUUAAUUAUCUUCGUAAUUAAUUUAUUAACUUUGAUCAUGAAAAAUUUAGUUUCUAAAUCUAAUCAUUCUCAUAACAAAAGGACUAUUUUGUCUUAUUCAUACAAAAUUUAAGAGAUCAAUAACAUAUGUUGCCUGUUUUGAGAUGGAAUUGGAUUUUUCCUUCAAUGAUGCAUGGCUGAUGAUUUAUAAUUACUCUUCUUGCGUGACAUGCUUUUUGAACUUUCAAAAAGAAACUAACAUGUUUUUUUUUUUAAAAAGGUAAUAUGCCACAUUUAAUUCAUAUUGUUAAAUAAUCCAAUUUAACAAUUAUUAUUGUUGACUUAGUUAUGUUCUUAGUUUCUCAAAUUAGAGGGUCAGUUUUUAUUUAGUCCUCUAAAUAAAGUUUUGCAUUUUUUACUCCAUCAAAUUAAAAAAGAUGUUUAUUUAGUUCCUUCUCUCACAUAAAAAUUUAUAUUUUUUAGUUCCUCAAAAUUUGACAAAGUAAUUAAAAGAAGAUUUUUUUUUUAAAAAAAAAAAGUUAAGAUGCUAAAAAAAUAUAAAUUUUUAUUUAGAAAAAUAGGCUCCCUAAUUUCAGGGCCUAAAAAUAAAAUCAAACGUAUUUUAUCAUUACUAGAUCAGAAGCUAUUGUUUAUUUUUUAUUUUUAAAUUCAAUGAAAUAAUUUAUUAAAAUCAAAACAGAUCGUACGUCCGAACCGGUUCAACCAAAAAUUGGAUACAUGGUUGAUCCUGUCAAGGUUGGACUGGAUAUGUCUUCGUCAAACCCUGGUGAUAUCAUUGGAGGUACCUUAUUAAAAGUACCUGAGAAACUGUACCUAUAGAAUUUAAUUAGAAAAUGAAGAAAAAGUAUUUUCAUAUUACUAGCAAUAUAUAUUAUUAUUGCCAUUUUGAUUGUCAUUGUUCUUAUUGUCAUUAUUGUCAUGGUUACGUAGUUAUCUAAGACUAGACUUUCUACAAAACCCAAAUGACUUUAUAAAAUAAAACAAUAACAUGACAUAUCAUCAUGCUUAUGAUAAUUUUUUCAAUCAUUAGUUACUUUUCUUAAUUUUCAUAUAGGUAAAUCUAAUAGGAUAAAUUUUGUCUUGAAUAAAUAAAAAAGUUUCAAAAAGUGUCCGGAAAUUAAAAAUGAUAAUUAAUUUGAAAGGACAAAUGUGUAUCUAUCAGUUAAACAAGGAUGAUGACCAUUUUGGGAGUUUUAAAAAUUAGCAGAAUAAUUUAGAUAAAAAAUUAAGUUAAGAAACCGUUCUUACAUUUUAAGCUUCAAUUAAUUAUGAUAGAGUUUUGUAGUAAUUUAUAGUGAUAUUUAAUGUUUUUUUUUUUACAAAAAUCACGGAUGUAAAAUUAAUUUUUAUUAGAGAUAACUCUAAACUUAUGUUAUUUUUGUUGUUUCACAUUGGACUUGGAUUAUUAUUUAUUUAUAUUUAUUGUUUUGAUAUUAUUCACCACACGCGCUAGCUCUAGAUAUCUGAGUUAAAUAACACUAAAAAAUUGAGUUUGAGUCUAAAUCAACUUGUUUUUGAAUCCAAGGUGUUAAAUGCAUCAACAAGUAUACAACAAAGGUUUUUAUGAAGUGAUUUUGUUAGGGUCCUGUACUACGGAAAAUAAAAUUGCAAAGAUAAAUGGGAUAAAAUUCUGUUCUGCCUUCAUUAUUUAUACAAAGAUUUCUGCACCAAAAAUUAUAACAAACUUUGGCUCGUAGUGCUAACAGCAUGUAUUUUCUUUUAUUAUAAUAACUAACUAAAUGGGAGGGAUAGUGAAAAUAGGCAGUGGGCAUAACAGAAUAGAUUUUACUGCUUGCUUAACAACCUCAAACACAGUCAUUGAAGCGUGUGGGUUUUCUGGUAUUCCUUUUGGACUUGCUAUUGUCCAAUUCCUUGUUGCUCUUGUAGUCUUCCUGUUCUUGGAUAUCUGAAUUGCUAUCAUCACCCCCCUCAACCAAACCAACCUUGUCCCCAAGGUUGUAAGACUGGCGUAGUGUAUCCAAUGGUUCCUGUAUAGUGUCCUCUUGUGCCAGGCCAUCCCAUUGGACUAGAACAAGCUUAGUUGGUGGACAAGAUGAGGAAUCCCAUUUCCAAUCCAAAAUAUGAAGAGGCUCAAUGACUGGAUGGUUCUCAGUGCUAGUCGGAGGAAGAACGACAGGAUAAGUGGGUGGCGGUCCGUGAUGGAGUUUUAAUAGUGAGAUAUGAAUCGUGGGGGUGAAUCUUAGAAGAAGAUAGUAACUGGAGUUUGUACGCGACAUGGCCCACGCGUUCCAGGAAAGGACCGUAAAAUCUUUUGUUCAACUUUGUGUAAGCUGGCGCUAUUGAUGUUUGGCGAUACGGUCUUAAGCACACAUACACCCAGUCGCCUACGGCGAAUUGGCGAUGAGCAUCCGCCAUAGUUUUCAUGGUAGUUUGGGCUUUGAGCAGGUGACGGUGGUGAACAACGAGGAUCGCGGUGCGUGUUGCUAGCAAAGAAUCUACAACUUCGAUUGUAUCACCCAAGAUGUAAUGUGGGAUUGACGGCGGUGGUUUGCCGUAUAUUUCCUCGUAAGGAGAGAUGCCUGUUCCAGAAUGGGUGGAUGUAUUAUAUGACCAUUCUGCCAGUGAUAAGAAGUGAUACCAUUGGGAUGGCCUGUCAUGAAUAAAGACACAAAGAUAUUGGUCCAAGAUGAGAUUCAUGACCUUUGUUUGACUGUCCGUUUGUGGGUGAUAGGCAGUGCUCAUCCGAAGCUUGGUUCCAUUGAGGCGAAAAAGCUCCUCCAAAAUUUGUUGAUAAACAAUGAAUCUCGGUCUGAACCUAGGCUUCGUGGGAAGCAAUGGUGCUUACAAACUAUGUCAAGAAAUAAGAGAACAGUCUUGUAAGCGGUAUUGUGUGGCGGCAGUGAGAGGGCGGUAGCCCGGUGAUGAAGUCCAAAGAAACAUCUUCCCAGAUGACUAAAGGAAUAGGCAAGAGCUGGAGGAGACCUGUCGGCUUCUUAGUGUUAUAUUUUGCUUGUUGACAAACAAGACACUAGGAGAUAAAGCAACAAAAAUCUUCAAGGAUGCGUGGCCAAUCAAAGUUCUGCUGCAGGUGGCGGAAAGUCUUAGCGACACCCAUAUGUCCUCUAAUUGGGGAAGAGUGAAACUCCUGCAAUAGUAAGCUAGCAAAAUGUGUUGCGAACGACAACCAUAUCCUUCCAUUUCGAAAGAGAAGCUCGUGAUAAACCUUGAGUUCAGGAUGUUUGGCGGGAUUUUGACGAACCUCAUCCAAUAGUGUUGUGUAUUGGGUGUCUUUUAAAAGAGUAUCCCGGAAUUGAUCCAAGAAGACAAACAUAGGCACUGAUAGGGAGUAAAAUUGUGCUUCAUCCGGUGCCGCAAUUCGGGAUAAUGCAUCAGCCACGAUAUUCUGAGAUCUUGACUUGUACUGUAUAACAUAAUCAUAUCCCAAUAAUUUAGACAAAUAAAUUUGCUAGUCAAGACUUUGAAUAGCUUGGGACAUAAGCUUUUUGAGGCUUCGAUGUUCCGUCAAAAUGGUAAAUGAAUGGCCUAGUAGGUAGUGCCGCCAUUUUCAAAUCGUGGUGGUAAUGGCGUGAUGUUGUCAGACAUAAGCUGAGGCAACAUGCAAAUGCGAGCAAAGCAUUUUGCUACAAUAAGCAAUUGGGUGAGAAUUCUGUUGAAGGACUGUGCUUAUAGCUCGUGAUGAGCCGUCUGUCUUUAUAGUAAAAGGGGCAGAAAAGUCCGGUGAAACCAGAACAGGGGCCUCCUUCAUCUUCCGUUUCAACUUUUCGAAGGUUGUUUGGGCUUUGUCAAACCAUUGGAACUUGUCCUUACGAAGCAAUGAAGUAAGUGGAGCAACGAGCACGGCAUAAGCCUUAAUAAAACGCUAGUAGAAGCCAGUUAAUCCCAAGAAUCCACGCAGGGCAGAAGGAGUAGACAGGGCUGGCUAGGUAAGCCUAGCCUGGAUUUUGUUGGGAUCCGGAGCCACCCAGUGAAUGGAGACUAUGUGGCCAAGAUAAUGUAACCUCUGUUGAGCAAAGAGGAAUUUGGAUUGGCGUAAGAGAAAUUAUGUCUGUGAUAGUGUCGUUAGAACUUGCUUCAAGUGUUGGGCAUGCGACUACAAACAGGGGUUGUAUAUAAGGAUAUCAUCGAAAAAAAUGGCGACAAACAUCUGAAGAAAAGGAUGAAGGGUGUCGUUCAUAGUGGCCUAGAAUGUUGAUGGUGCAUUGCAGAGACCAAAUGGCAUGACCUUGAAUUCAUAGUGGCCAUGGUGAGUUUUGAAGCCUGUCUUAUAGAUAUCGGAAUCCACCAUUUGUAUCUAGUGAAAGCCCCGUCUGAGGUCUAACUUGGAAAAUUAAGAUGUGUGGCUCAAUUCAUCCAAUAAUUCCUCAAUUAUGGGCAUGGGAAAAUGAUCUUUGAUCGUUAUGGCUUUCAAGGCCCUGUAAUCGACACAGCAGCGCCAACUGCCGUCUUUCUGCUUGACAAGUAGUAUCGGAGAAGAAAAAGGGCUAUGACUGGGUAAUAUCAGUCCAGCAUUGAGCAUCGAGGCAACUUGUGUUUCGAUUUCAAUUUUUUGGAAAUAUGGGUAACGGUAGGGUUUGACGUUGACUGGGUUGGUGUUAGGGGUGAGGUGGAUAUGGUGUUAGAUUGUGCAAGAGGGUGGUAGGUGGGUUGGUUCAUGGAAGAUUUCUGGAAAUUGGGUGAUGAUGGAGGUUAUCUGGGGAGGUGUUGGUGUCUGGUGGGGGUGUGAUGGGGAAGAGGAGAUAUUGGGCUGGGAUAGUGAUGUGGUGAGGGCAAAAGAGUAGAAAUGCUUUGUGUUUGAGUACAUCGAUUUAAUUGUUGGGCUGAAAUGGAAGUUGUGUCCAAAAAGCAUUCGCGAUAAGUGUUAUUGGUUGACCUGAAAGGAAAAAUGACAUCGUUAGCGCCUUAUAGUUUGUGGUGGCGGGCCCUAAUUAUUUAACCAUUGAACGCCCAAGACAAUGUCUGCACCACUAAUGGGCAAUUGGAAGAGGUCAGUGACAAGGGCAAUUGCUGGGAACUAGUGGUGCAGUCCAAGAUGUAGUCGUCAUCGACCAUAACACGCAGGGUGUCUGAAGGAGACGCAAGAAAGUAAAGAAAGUGAGUAACGUGAGACUGGAUAAAAUUGUGAGUACUACCCUCGUCCACUAGAAUAACGAGGUGAUGCUGGUGAGGGAGAUCAUAUUGGCGAAAGGUGUCAGGCGUUACAGUGCCAUCUAUAGCAUGCAAGCUAAUUUGUGGAAUUGGGUAACGGUCGAGGUCUAGAUCUAGAGGGUCGAAGUUGUCCGAGGGUAAGGAAGGGGCGUCAAGACGUGAUGCGAAGGGUUCGAUAUCCUCAUCGGCAAUUAGAAGGUGCAAUCGAGGUUUACAAUGAUGCCCAGGUAUCCAUUUGUCAUCACAAUGAUAAAAGCGGCCAUGGUCACGCCGAAGAGCCAUUUCUCCGGAGGUGAGACGUUCGAAGGGGAUUUUUGGGGCUAGGGUUGUGUUUGGUUUGAGAAAAGGAGAGUUGGGGUUUGGGGGUGCUUGGUAACGAGGUGAUGGUGGGGAGUAAUAGUUUUGAUGGUGGCCAAGGAGUUUGGUUUCCUGGAGCUUGGCCAGGGCUGCGGCUUGUGUCAACGAAGAGGGUUGAAGGGCUAGCUUGCACUAUGUGACACAAGUCUAGGGUUAAACCGGAGACGAAACAACUUAAAAGAAAAGAUGGGGCAAGGCCUACAAUUCUAUAGGCAAGGCGUUCGAACUCCGUAAGGUAAUCAUUGACGAAGCCUUGCUGUUGUAGUUUGAACAAGGUGCUGGAAGGAUCAUCGUAAUAUGCAGGGGCAAAGCGCGACUCAAGAGCUUUGAGCAUGCCUGUCCAAGAUGUGAGAAAACCAUUCCUUGACAUCCAUUGGUACUAGCACAAUGCCGGACCCUCCAUGUAAAAAGAGGCGUCCGUAAGGAGUUCGUGGUCUGGGAUCCCUUGGUAGUUGAAGAACUGCGAAGCUUUGAAGAUCAAACCGAUGGGAUCGCAUCCAUCAAAACAAGGGACGUUCAGUUUCAUAUAGGGCCACGAAGAGGAUGGUGAAGCUGCUAUUGGAGAGGAAGGAGGAGAAAAAGGAACGAUGGUUGUAGCAGCUAAACGUUCGAGAAUAGAAUCAAACUUAGCGUUCGUGGUGUCUUGGAUUUGUGCAAGGUUUUAUGUGAGAGUAAACUGGCCCUAGGUCAGGCAAGUGACCGCCUUUUCCAAUCGGUCAAUGACGGCCUGCUUGGUAUUAUGUUCUGAGGGUGACAUAGGGGCAAGUCAGACCAGUUGUUAGGGUCCUGUACUACAGGGAAUAAAACUGCAAAGAUAGAUGGGGUAAAAUUCUGUUCUGCCUUCAUUAUCAUUCAUACUCCCUUAUUUAUAUAAAGAUUGUUGCACCAAAAGUUAUAACAAACUUUGGCUCUUAGUGCUAAUAGAUUCAUAACAACAUGUAUUUUCUUUUAUUAUAAUAACUAACUAAAUGGGAGGGAUAGUGGAAAUAGGUAGUUGGCAUAGCAGAAUAGAUUUUAGUGCUUGCUUAAUAGCCUCAAACAAUGUCAUUGAAGCGUGUGGGUUUUCUCGUAUUCCUUCUGGGCUUGCUAUGCUCCAAAUCCAUGAUGCUCUUGUGCUCUUCUUGUUCCUGAAUAUCUGAAUUGCUAUCAGAUUUGGGGGAGUCAAAUAAAAUUUGUUGGGUCAAUUGGGAAUCUGGAUGCCUCCCAAAUUCAGAAGGGGACCUUGGGAGCAAAGAACGUGUAGUGAUUCAAUAUAAAUUUGCUUGCAAAGUGGUGGUGGCGGUUUCUGACAUACUCAAAUGCAACUUGCUGGUACCCUCUUCUCAGUUUCAGAUAUGGUCGCAUUAAUUCUGAAAUGUGUAGCCCCUCUUCUAUUUGACAAACAUCAAAUUGGUGGAAGGAUAUUAUGGCUAUUGACUUGAAUAGUAGCUAGUUCUCUCAAGGUGUAAUCCGGAAAAUUAGAGAUUGGGGCAGUUUUUGGAAGGAUAGAUGGGUGGGGGGAUUUCAAUCUAAAAACAAUUUUUGUAACAUUAUAUCAAAUUGCAAAUAAUACAGACUGUUUGGGGGCUGAUAUGGUUGGCAAUGGGUUUGGGAUUAGAGGUGACGCCAAGGAUAAAAAGAGCUAAAUCUUAUAUUUUAGGUUCAUCAACAAAAAAACAUUAUUAUUUUUAUAAAGGAAAAAAGUAACAUAUAAUUCUUUCUUUUAAAGUAUUUUUUUUCUUUUAAAUUUACUUUAGACUCCUCUCUUGUUGGGUCAUGGGAGGAGGAUAUUGUUGUUCAACUGAGACAACUUCUAUCUUCAGUCAAGUUGAGUGGGAUAGGCUAGACUCUUGAUCAUCGGAACGGAAUAAUACUAGUUCUUUCAUGGUGUUAUCUGCUUAUUCAUUGAUUCGCGCUGGGGUGAAUGCUUUAUAAUCAGAUACAUCCAACAGAGUUAUAUUCUCAUGAGGGAAGCAGAUGAAAAAAUUCAAAAGUAUUAAUUAUUUGGCAUGCGACGUGCUGUGGGUUCAAAGAAACAAUGUUAUUUUCAAAAAUGGUGUUCCAGAUGUUCCUAUAGUGUCCUUUUUCACGCUCAGAGUUUGUUAUGGUCUUGGUUCAGGUAUAAGGGAGGGACCUUGCUCGAGUGGGAUUUUGUUGGCAAACUGGUCUUCCAAUCCGUUGGAGUGCCUAUAACAAUCUGGAUAAUUCUGGUUUUGAUUGUAUUUGCUCCUAUACAGAGAGCUUUUGCGUUUCUUUUGCGUGCUUAGUUUGUAAUUUUCGUUCUGGUGUGGUCACACUUCAUGGCCAAUAACCUUUAAUAAAAAAAAAUUGCUGUUAAAAAAAACAGCUUGUAAGAAGAUGAGAGUUGUUCCUCCUCUUAUAAACUUUCAAUUCAUGUGGUUAUUCAUUACUUGAUGUGAUAUCUCUAACAAAAUGAGUGUUUUAUACAUUAUAAAAAAACUCAUGGUCCAAUAAAUUGUACCUUUUUAGAAUCAAUACAAAAGGAAUUUGAAAACAAAAAAAUUUAUGGCAAAGAAUUCAUACCAUUACAUGUAUAAAUAAUAAAUUCUUAAUUGUGCACCACUCAAGAAUUAUUCUGUAUGUAUAAUGCAUACUUGUUGCAUAAUUUAUGCAAUGAAUUAGUUCACAUUCCUGCAGUUAACCCGAAUUUCACCUUGAUUCCCAGUGAGGGACUGAAUAUUUCCCAUCUUAAUCAUCGAGUUCGCAAAGUCCUCGUAGAAAUCUUCGGUAUCAUCGCUGUACUCUUUGACCAGUUCAUCAGUAGAACCACCAUUGAAGAGUUCUUGAUCAGAGUGAAGAAGCCCUUUCUUUUGAACCAAAUUAGAGUAAUAAUUUAUGUCAAAUUUUGCCGCUGUUGAGUCCAAAGGAGAAAGGUUGGAGUCACCACCGUUUGUAGGGCAAAUGUAUUUAAGUUGUUGUGCAAAGUGGGGAUCGAUGUUGGAGUCAUUGUAGAUAUGGUCCUUAAAUGUAACACAACGUGCAAAUCCAAUGCUGUGGCCUCCAGAAAGAACAACAAGGUCCUUCUCAUCAAGACCAUGAUUCUUGAAGUUGGUGAUGAGUUCAGAUAGGCUGAAAAAUGGUGCUGGAAUGCUUGCAUCUGCUGCUUCACGACUUGCUGUAGUAGAGUCUCUUCUGCCAAGUCUCACCUUCCAUGAUGGUCCCCCUAACUGCAUGGAGCAUAUGCACAUAAUUAAUUCUUGUUCACAACUAGGUUCAUUCAUUUUUUAUAUAGAGAUGACAGUAUAGUGUUGUUCAGCUAGAAUAUUUAGUAAUUAUUUAUACGAAUUUUGAGGAAGAGAAAUUGUAUUUAAACAAUUUUUUAUAUAAAGGAUUUUGAAUAAUAAAGAGAAAUAAAAUAAGAAAUAAGGGAUAUAUAAUAAAAUAAUUUAUGUAAUAAAAAACACAGAUUAUAUGGUCUAAAGUGUUGUAAAAAUUCGUUAUACAGAUAAAUAUAAGUCUUUGAAAGUUAACUAAUAAAAAUCAUUUUGUAUUUCUCAAAUUUCGUAGUAAUAUGGCCAUCACAAUUACCCUACCCUACACUUGCUCUGAACGUUACAUAUUUAUGUGGGUCGGUUAAAAAUCCUCCGGUUUACUUUUAUACUAUUCGAACUGAGUCCUUGACUCCCUGGAUAAUUAAUAAAGUUUAUAUUACUUUUUAGUAACAUACAUUUAUUUGACUUUUAUGCAGUCAAAGUUCUAUAAAAAUUGCAUUGCAUCAUCUUAUGAUCUCUGGUAUAUUUGACAUCGUGAUUAAUAAAAAAUUCGCUAUGGACUAAUACAAUUCAUAACAUUAAGCAUAAUUUCUCAUAUUUAUAUAUAUAUAUAUAUAUAUAUAUAUAUAUAUAUAUAUAUAUAUAUAUAUAUAUAUAUAUAUAUAUAUAUAUAUAUAUAUAUAUAUAUAUAUAUAUAUAUAUAUAUAUAUAUAUAUAUACACGAUAAACAUUUAACGCAUAUCAUUUUGGGUUAUAAUUAGCUAUAUUCUAGUAUUACAAUUUUGAAGCUACAUUACAGUAUUAUUACUCACCGCAACAACUGAAUCACGAGCUGCAACAGCCAAUAUGUCUGCGCAAGAAACAACUGGUUUUCCACAUGCUUCGUCCACAGCUUUCUUUAUGUCAUCCACCACUUCAAAUCCUCUAGCAGAUUGCAAAUUAGCAGCUGCAUUCUUUUCGCUGUCAAUGGAGGAUGUGGAGUCUAGAAGAAUUGAACCAUCACAACCCUGAAUCAUCGUCACAAAACCAAGUCAUUAAUUAGCCUCACAUUUUCACAUCAUCUAAAAAUUAAUCCCCACAUUUUAAAUAAUGGGGUCUUUAAGGUAAUAUAUACAUUCAUUAAUCCGUAUGAAUUUAUUUUUUUAGACUAAAGAGUAUUUUGUGUCACAUACUGAGACUACUUGUUUUCGAAAAAUCUAAAGGCAUUAAAAAAUGAGUAAUUCCUUGCUAACUUGAUUUUUUUUCUCAUAUAUAAAAGUCAGGAUUUGAAUUCCAUGACCACAUUUAAUUUGUAAGGAAUCAGCUUAUCAUCAUCACUCAAAAUAACUACUUGUUAUCAUAUUAACAUGUGUGUAUACAUGUACACGUGCAUGUGUAUAUAUGUGUAUGCAUAUGCCCACAAGCGUAGAAUGUCUUACAUUAACAAAACAAUCAUGGAAGUGCAAGCGUAGCAAUGAAGCACCCAUACGACGCUCUUUCUGCACAGAAGCCUCCACAACACUUUUGAUGGUGCUCAAAGCUUUAGGGCACGAAUAAUCAUAGUAAUUAGGUGACAAUUGUGAGAAAGCUGAGGUUGCAAUAGAUGCAAACACUAAGGCAUGGAGAACAACAAAGAAAUACCCACGUGAUGCCAUUCUAUUACUAUGCAAUCAAUAACUGAUCAAUAUGCAAUAUAGUAUAUAGUACUGUAGUAGAUGACAAUAUCGUCUACUGGGAAAUGAUAAAGCUAUAUUAUGUAUUUCAAUUAUUUGGAUUGCUAUUGCCACAUUGCUGUAUUUAUAGAGACGCUGAGACGCGUGCUGGGGAAAAAAUACCAUUUUUUAUUGUUUGUCCAUAGAAAAAUAUACCAAUUAACUGCACGGUAUCAUACCUAGUGAUGUGUGGAAUGAGCCCACGAAAAAGACCAUUUCACCUCAGAAACGUUCUAUGUUAGGUAUCAUUAAAGGUAUCAAGAAAUCCUAAAAAAGAAUUAUUCAGUGAUUGAUUUAGUCCACGGAGGGUUUUAAUUAAUUGAUAUAUGUACGCCAACCACAGCGAAUAAUGAUAAAUUUAUGAUGUAAAUGGACAAUAUACAUGCAUGGGAUACAUAUCCUUUUCGACUAAAUCAAUUCCGAGUAUUAUAUGUUGUAUAUUCACAGCGUAAGCAAUUACGAAUCCUAGUUAUCAAUCAGGUUAACCUUUUUUCUUCUUCUUCUUCUGAAUUAUUAAUCAAGUCAACUAGUUGUAGUCAUUUUAUUGUAAGCAGGUAAAAGUUUCAAAAUGAUACACAUGGACAAUGAAGGUAAAUUAAAUUCUACAAGUUUUUGUCAAUAUAAUUUAAUGGUUUAAUUACUCAUUUAGUCUCUAUAGUUUUCAAACUUAUCCAAUUUAGUCCAUGUAGUUAAUAAGUGAUUUUUUUAGUUACUGUAGUUUAUUUUUUAAUUCCCAAUAGGUUCCUCCUGUUUAAAUUUUUUAACACGUUAACGGACCUUGGCAAAACUCCCUCUGCACCGCUCUGCACCGCAAAAUUCUCUCUGCAUUUUGAAUUCAUCUCCCUCUCGGCCACCAUUAUCGUCCAUUGUUGGGAAUUAAAAUUAAUUGUGAUUUGCUGUAAGCAAGCGUUGACCCAUGUCGUCCAUUGUUGAACCUAACUGAGUUUUAAUAAUUAAUUAUCUUUGUAAUUAAUUUAUUAACUUUGAUCAUGACAAAUUUAGUUUCUAAAUCUAAUCAUUCUCAUAACAAAAGGACUAUUAUUCUGAAAAAAAAUAACAAAAGCACUAUUUUGUCUUAUUCAUAAAAAUUUAAAAGAUCAAUAACAUAUGUUGCCUGUUUUAAGACGGAAUUGGAUUUUUCCUUCGAUGAUGCAUGGCUGAUGAUUUAUAAUUACUCUUCUUGCGUGACAUGCUUUUUAAACUUUCAAAAAGAAACUAACAUGUGUUUUUUUUUUUUUUUGAAAAGGUAAUAUGCCACAUUUAAUUCAUAUUGUUAAAUAAUCCAAUUUAACAAUCAUUAUUGCUGACUUAGCUAUGUUCUUAGUUUCUCAGAUUAGAGGGUCUGUUUUUAUUUAGUCCUUUAAAUAAAGUUUUGCAUUUUUUACUCCAUCAAAUUAAAAAAGACGUUUAUUUAGUCCCUUCUCUAACAUAAAAAUUUAUAUUUUUUAUUUCCUCUAAAUUUGACAAAGGAAUUAAAAGAAGCUUUUUUUUUUUUAAGUUAAGAUGCUAAAAAAAUAUAAAUUUUUAUUUAGAAAAAUAGGCUCCCUAAUUUCAGGGCCUAAAAAUAAAAUCAAACGUAUUUUAUCAUUACUAGAUCAGAAGCUAUUGUUUAUUUUUUAUUUUUAAAUUCAAUGAAAUAAUAUUAUUAAAAUCGAAACAGAUCGUACGUCCGAACCGGUUCAACCAGAAAUUAGAUACAUGGUUGAUCCGGUCAAGGUUGGAUUGGAUAUGUCUUCAUCAAACCCCCGGUGAUAUCAUUGGAGAUACCUUAUUAAAAGUACCUGAGAAACUGUACCUAUAGAAUUUAAUUAGAAAAUGAAGAAAAAGUAUUUUCAUAUUACUAGCUAGUAGUAUAUGUUAUUAUCGUCAUUUUCAUGGUCAUUGUUCUUGUUAUUGCUGCUAUUAUUAUUAUCAUUAUUGUCAUGGUUAUGUAGUUGUCUAAAACUAGACUUUCUAUAAAAUCAAAAUGACUUUAUAAAAUAAAAUAAAAACAUGACAUUGUGCUCAUCAUGCUUAUGAUAAUUUUUUCAAACAUUAGUUAGUUUUCUUAGUUUUCAUAUAGGUAAAUCUAAUAGGAUAAAUUUUUUCUUGAAUAAAUAAAAAAAGAUUCAAAAAGUGUCCAGAAAUUAAAAAUGAUAAUUAAUUUGAAAGGAAAAAUGCAUAUGUAUGGGUGCUUCAUUGCAUAAGAAAAAAUUGAGUUUGAGUUUAAACCAACUUGUUUUUGAAUCCAAGGGGUUAAAUGUAUCAACAAGUAUACAACAAAGGUUUUUAUGAAGUGAUUUUGUUAGGUCCUGUACUACGGGAAAUAUAACUGCAAAGAUAAAUGGGAUAAAAUUAUGUUCUGCCUUUAUUAUCAUUCAUACUCCUUUAUUUAUACAAAGAUUUUUGCACCAAAACUUAUAACAAACUUAUGGCUCACAGUGCCAACACAUUCAUAACAGCAUGUAUUUUCUUUUAUUAUAGUAACUAACUAAAUGGGAGGGAUAGUGAAAAUAGGCAUAACAAAGUAGAUUUUAGUGCUUGCUUAACAACCUCAAAGAGAGUCAUUGAAGCGUGUGGGUUUUCUAGUAUUCAUUCUAGGCCUGAUAUGGUCCAAUUCCUUGCUGCUCUUGUGCUCUUCCCGUUCCAAGAUAUCUGAAUUGCUAUCAUCACCCCCCCUCAACCAAACCAACCUUGUCCCCAAGGUUGUAAGACGGGGCGUAGUGUAUCCAACGACUCCCAUGUACUGUCCUCUUGUGACAAGCCAUCCCAUUGGACUAGAACAAGCUUAGUUGGUGGACAAGAUGAGGAAUCCCAUUUCCAAUCCAAAAUAUGAAGAGGCUCAAUGACUGGAUGGUUCUUAAUGAUAGUCGGAGGAAGAACGGUAGGAUAUGUGGGUGACGGUCUGUGAUGGAGUUUCGAUAGUGAGAUAUGAAACUUGGGGUCAAUCUUAGAAGUGAUACCAUUGGGAUGGCCUGUCAUGAACAAAGACGCAAAGAUAUUGCUCCAAGAUGCGAUUCAUGACCUCUGUUUGAUUGUCCAUCUGUGAGUGAUAGGCAGUGCUCAUCCGAAGCUUGGUUCCACUGAGGCGAAAAAGCUCCUCCAAAAUUUUCUAAUAAACAAUGGAUCCCGAUCUGAAACCAGGGUCUGUGGGAAGCCAUGAUGCUUACAAACUAUGUCAAGAAAUAAGAAGGCAGUCUUAUAAGCGGUAUUGUGUGGCGAUAGUGCCCCGAAAUGGGCUUCUUUUGAAAAUUGGUCCAUGACAACCAGAAUAAUGGUAAAGUCGUGAGACGGUGGUAGCCCGGUGAUGAAGUCCAAAGAAACAUCUUCCCAAAUGGCUGAAGGAAUAGGCAGGGGCGGGAGGAGACCUGCCAGCUUCUUGGUGUCAUAUUUUUUUUGUUGACAAACAAGACACUAGGAGACAAAGCUACGAACAUCUUCAAGGAUGCGGGGCCAAUCAAAGUUUUGCUGCAGGCGGCGGAAAUUCUUAGUGACACCUAUGUGUCCUCUAAUUGGGGAAGAGUGAAACUCCUGCAAUAGUAAGCUGGUGAAAUGUAUUGCGAACGACAAUCAUAUCCUUCCAUUUUGAAAGAGAAGCUCGCGAUAGACCUUGAGGUCAGGAUGUUUGGUAGGAUUUUGAUGGACCUUGUCCAACAGUGUUGUGUAUUGGGUGUCUUUUAGAAGAGUAUCCCAGAGUUGAUCCAAGAAGACAAACAUAGGCACUGAUACGGAGUAAAACUAUGCUUCGUCCGGUGCCGUAAUUCGGGAUAAUGCAUCGUCCACAAUGUUCUAAGAUCCUAACUUGUACUAGAUAACAUAAUCAUACCCCAGUAAUUUGAACAAAUAGAUUUCCUGCUCAGGACUUUGAAUAGCUUGGGACAUAAGCUCUUUGAGGCUUCAGUGUUCCGUCAAAAUGGUAAAUGAAUGGCCUAGUAGGUAGUGCCGCCAUUUUUGAACUGCAGCGGUAAUGAUGUGAUAUUCUUGGACAUAAGCCGAUGUAAGAUGCAAAAAUGGGCAAAACAUUUUUCUAUAAUAAGCAAUUAGGUGAGAGUUAUGUUGAAGGACCGUGUCUAUAGCUCGUGAUGAGGCGUCUAUCUUUAUAGUAAAAGAGGCAGAAAAGUCUGGUGAAACCAGAACCGGGGCCUUCAUGAUCUUCUGUUUCAACUGUUCGAAGGUUGUUUAGGCUUUUUCAGACCAUUGGAACUUGUCCUUACAAAGCAACGAAGUAAGUGGAGCAACGAGCGCGGCAUAACCCUUAAUAAAACGCUGGUAGAAGCCGGUUAAUCCCAAGAAUCCACGCAGGGUAGAAGGAGUGGACGGGGCUGGCUAGGUGAGCAUAGCCUGGAUUUUGUCGGGAUCCGGAGCCACCCCGUGAAUGUAGACUAUGUGGCCAAGAGAAUGUAACCUCUACUGAGCAAAGAGGAAUUUGGAUUGGCGCAAGAGAAAUUGUGCAUGUGAUAGUGUCUAUAGAACUUGCUUCAAGUGUUGGGCAUGCAACUACGAACAGGGGCUGUAUAUAAGGAUAUCAUUGGAAAAAAUGGCGACAAACAUUCAAAGAAAAGGACGAAGGGUGUCGUUCAUAGUGGCCGGGAAUGUUGAUGGUGCGUUGCAGAGACCAAAUGGCAUGACCUUGAAUUCAUAGUGGCCAUGGUGAAUUCUGAAGCCUGUCUUCUGGAUAUCGGAAUCCGCCAUUCGUAUCUGGUGAAAGCCCCAUUUGAGGUCUAACUUGGAAAAUCAAGAUGUGUGGCUGAAUUCAUCCAAUAAUUAGUCAAUUAUGGGCAUGGGAAAAUGAUCUUUGAUCGUUACGGCUUUGAAGGGUCUGUAAUCGACACAGUAGUGUCAGUUGUCGUCUUUCUGUUUGACAAGCAAUAUCGGAGAAGAAAAAUGACUAUGACUGGGUUGUAUCAGUCCAGCAUUGAGCAUCGAGGCAACUUGUUUUUUGAUUUUGGUUUUUUGGAAAUGUGGGUAUCGAUAGGGCUUGAUGUUGACUAGGUUGGUGUUAGGGGUGAGGUGGAUAUGGUGUUAGAUUGUGCAAGAGGGUGGUAGGUGGGUUGGUUCAUAGAAGAUUUCUGGACAUUGGAUGAUGAUGGAGGUUAUCUGGGGAGGUGUUGGUGUCUGGUGGGGGUGUGACGGGGAAGAGGACGUACUGUACCGGGAUAGUGAUGCGGUGAGGGCAAAAAGGGCAGAAAGGCUUUGUGUUUGAGUGCAUCGAUUUAAUUGUUGGGCUGAAAUGAAUGUUGUGUCCAAAGAACAUUCACGAUAAGUGUUGUUGGCGGACACGAAAGGAAAUGACAUCGCCAACGCCUUAUAGUUUUUGGUGGUGGGCCCUAAUUGUUUUAACCAUUGAACGCCCAAGACAAUGUCUGCAUCGCUAAUGGGUAAAUGGAAGAGGUCAGGGACAAAUGUGUGACCUUGGAUGUACGAGGUCACUUGCCAGGAAGUAGUGGUGCAAUCCAACAUGUAGUCAUCACCGACCAUAACGCGUAGGGUGUCUGAAAGAGACGCAGGAAAGUGAAGAAAGUGAGCAACGCGGGACUAGAUAAAAUUAUGAGUACUACCCCCAUCCAUAGCAUGCAGGCUGAUUUGAGGAACUGGGUCAGGGUCGGGGUCUGGAUCUGGAGGGUCGAAGUUGUCUGAGGGUAAGGAAGGGGCAUCGGGACUUGAUGCGAAGGGAUCAAUAUCCUCGUCGGCAAUUACAAGGUGCAAUCGAGGUUUACAACAAUGGCCAGGUAUUUAUUUGUCAUCAUAGUGAUAACAAAGGUCAUGGUCACGCCGAAGAGCCAUUUCCUCAAAGGUGAUACAUUUGAAGAGGAUUUUUGGGGCUAAAGUUGUGUUUGGUUUAAGAAAAGGAGAGUUGGGGUUUGCGGGUGCUUUGUAACGAGGCGAUGGUGGAGAGUAAUAGUUUCGAUGCUGGCCAAGGAGUUUGAUUUCCUGGAGCUUGGCCAGGGUCGCGGCUUGUGUCAACGAAGAGGGUUGAAGGGCUUACACCUCGCGACGUAAGCCCAGGGUCAAACCGGAGAUGAAACAACUUAAAAGAAAGGAUGGGGCAAGGCCAAAAAUUCUAUUGGCAAGGUGUUUGAACUUUGUAAGGUAAUCAUUGACGGAGCCUUGCUGUUGUAGUUUGAACAAGGUGCUUGAAGGAUCAUCGUAAUAUGCUGGGGCAAAGCGUGACUCAAGAGCUUCGAGCAUGCCUGUCCAAGAUGUGAGGAAACCAUUCCUCGACAUCCAUUGGUACCAGCACAACGUCGGGCCCUCCAUGUAAAAAGAGGGGACUGUAAGGCGUUCAUGGUCUGGGAUCCCUUGGUAGUCAAAGAACUGCGAAGCUUUGAAGAUCCAACCAAUGGGAUCAUGUCCAUCAAAACGUGGCACGUCCAGUUUCAUAUGGGGCCGCGGAGAGGAUGGUGAAGCUAGUAUUGAAGAGGAAGGAGGAGAAAGAGGAAUGGUGGUCAUAGCAUAUAAAUGGAAUUGAACUUAGCGUUCGUGGUGUCUUGGAUUUGUGCAAGGUUUUGUGUAAGAGUAGACUAGCCCUAGGUCAGGCAAGUGACCGCCUCUUCCAAUCGGUCAAUGACGGCCUGCUUGGUAUUAUGUUCUGAGGGCGACAUAGGGGUAGGUCGGACCAAUUGUUAGGGUCCUAUACUACGGGAAAGAAAACUACAAAGAUAGAUGGGGUAAAAUUCUGUUUUGCCUUCAUUAUCAUUCAUACUCCCUUAUUUAUACAAAGAUUGCUGCACCAAAAGUUAUAACAAACUUUGGCUCGUAGUGCUAACAGAUUCAUAACAACAUGUAUUUUCUUUUAUUAUAAUAACUAACUAAAUGGGAGGGAUAGUGGAAAUAGGUAGUAGACAUAACAGAAUAGAUUUUACUGCUUGCGUAAUAGCCUCAAACAAUGUCAUUGAAGCGUGUGGGUUUUCUUGUAUUCCUUCUGGGCUUGCUAUGGUCCAAAUCCUUGCUCCUCUUUUGCUCUUCUUGUUCCUGGAUUUCUGAAUUGCUAUCAGAUUUGGGGGAGUCAAAUAAAAUUUGUUGGGUCAAUUGGGAAUUUGGAUGCCUCCCAAAUUCAGAAGGGGACCUGGGAGCAAAGAACUUGUAGUGAUUCAAUAUAAGUUUGCUUGCAAAGUGGCAGUGGCGGUUUUUGACAUACUCAAAUGCAAUUUGCUGGUACCCUCUUCUCAGUUUCAGAUAUGAUCGCAUUAAUUAAUUCUGAAAUGUGUAGCCCUUCUUCUAUUUGACAAACGUCGAAUUAAUGGAAGGAUAUUAUUGCUAUUGACUUGAAUAGUAGCUAGUUCUCUGAUGGUGUAAUCCGGGAAAUUGGAGAUUGGGGCAGUUUUUGGAAGAAUAGAUGGGUGGGGAAUUUCAAUCUAAAAACAUUUUUUGCAACAUUAUAUCAAAUUGCAAAUAAUACAGACUGUUUGGUGGCUGAUAUGGUUGGCAAUGGGUUUGGGAUUAGAGGUGACGCCUUUGGAGCCUAGUCGGUCCAAGGAUAAAAAGAGCUAAAUCUUAUAUUUUAGGUUUAUCAACAAAAAAAUAUUAUUAAUUUUUAUAAAGGAAGAAAAAGUAACAUAUAAUUCUUUCUUUUAAAGUAAUUUUUUUCCCUUUAAAUUUACUUUAGACUCCUCUCUUGUUGGGUCAUGGGAGGAGGAUAUUGUUGUUCAACUGAGACAACUUCUAUCUUCAGUCAAGUUUAGUGGGAUAGGCUAGAUGAAACGUAUAAUUGGUAUUGAUAGCAGAAAAUAGUGUUUAUAACAACAAGGAACGAUGUUCACAACAAAAUCGAAAAUAGCUAUAGUGUUUCAGCAAAAGGAACGAGCGAAAUCAACAACACAGAGUCAGCGUUCUUUAACUAAACCAUCACAGGUUCAGAAUAGCACCUGAGAUUAAGGAGAGUAUAAAGGUUGGGAGAAGGUGCAGAGAAGAAGGAAUUAACAGAAGGAUCAGAGAAGCAAACAGGAAGAGUGUUCACCUUCAACAUAACCUAGAAUGAGUAUUUACGCAAUCUUAUAUUCUCCCUCCUAACACGUGCGUUUUUUUUUACCCCCACAUGCAGAUCAUCAGCCACGUGUCCUUCAUUUGUAACUGACUAACGCGCCAAUUUUCCUUCCUGCUUCCCGCAUGUUACACUAGACUCUGGAUCAUGGGAACAGAAUAAUACUAGUUUUUUCACGGUGUUAUCUGCUUAUUCAUUGAUUCGUGCCGGGCUGAAUGCUUUAUAAUCAGAUACAUCCAACACAGUUAUAUAUAUUCUCAUGAGGGAAGCAGAUGAAAAACUUCAUAAGUAUUAAUUAUUUGGCAAGCGACGUGCUGUAGGUUCAGAGAAACAAUGUUAUUUUCAAAAAUAAUAUUCCAGAUGUUCCUAUAGUGUCCUUUUUCACGCUCAGAGUUUGUUAUGGUCUUGGUUCAGGUAUAAGGGAGGGACCUUGCUCGAGUGGGAUUUUGCUGGCGAACUGGUCUUCCAAUCCGUUGGAGUGCCUAUUACAAUCUGGAUAAUUCUGGUUUUGAUUGUAUUUGCUCCUAUACAGAGAGCUUUUGCAUUUUUUUGCGUGCUUUAAUUGUAAUUUUCGUGCUGGUGUGGUCACACUUCAUGGCCAAUAACCUUUAAUAAAAUUCUUUUUGCUGUUAAAAAAAAUACCUUGUAAGAAGAUGAGAGUUGUUCCUCCUCUUAUAAACUUUCAAUUCAUUUGUUAUAUCAUUACUUGAUGUGAUAUGUAUAGCAAAAUGAGUGUUUUAUAUAUUAUAAAAAAACUCAUGGUUCAAAUAAAUUUUACCUUUUUAGAAUCAAUGCAAAAGGAAUUUGAAAACAAACAAUUUAUGGCAAAGAAUUCAUACCAUUACAUGUAUAAAUAAUAAAUUCUUAAUUGUGCACCAGUCAAGAAUUAUUCUGUAUGUAUAAUGCAUACUUAUUGCAUAAUUUAUGCAAUGAAUUAGUUCACAUUCCUGCAGUUAACCCGAAUUUCACCUUGAUUCCCGGUGAGGGGCUGAAUAUUUCCCAUCUUAAUCAUCGAGUUCGCAAAGUCCUCGUAGAAAUCUUCGGUAUCGUCGCUGUAUUCUUUGACCAGUUCAUCAGUAGAACCACCAUUGAAGAGUUCUUGAUCAGAGUGAAGAAGCCCUUUCUUUUGAACCAAAUUAGAGUAAUAGUUUAUGUCAAAUUUUGCCGCUGUUGAGUCCAAAGGAGAAAGGUUGGAAUCACCACCGUUUGUAGGGCAAAUGUAUCUAAGUUGUUGUGCAAAGUUGGGAUCGAUGUUGGAGUCAUUGUAGAUAUGGUCCUUAAAUGUAACACAACGUGCAAAUCCAAUGCUGUGGCCUCCAGAAAGAACAACAAGGUCCUUCUCAUCAAGACCAUGGUUCUUGAAGUUGGUGAUGAGUUCAGAUAAGCUGAAAAAUGGUGCUGGAAUGCUUGCAUCUGCUGCUUCACGACUUGCUGUAGUAGAGUCUCUUCUGCCAAG
Molecule: long non-coding RNA, 30380 nt
Filed under: Glycine max (soybean)
Lineage: Eukaryota; Viridiplantae; Streptophyta; Magnoliopsida; Fabales; Fabaceae
Description: long non-coding RNA (GMAX_LNC000511)
Source: RNAcentral